GGGCCCGUAGCUCAGCCAGGUUUAGAGCGGCGGCCUUCGGAGCCGUAGGUCGUGGGUUCAAAUCCCACCGGGCCCGCCA
This 79-nucleotide transfer RNA is filed under the name Caldivirga sp. RNAcentral's name for it is "tRNA-Arg". It matches the Rfam family "tRNA". Rfam says of the family: Transfer RNA (tRNA) molecules are approximately 80 nucleotides in length. The record is from RNAcentral. Lineage: Archaea; Thermoproteati; Thermoproteota; Thermoprotei; Thermoproteales; Thermoproteaceae.